UGAAUACGAGACGCUAAGGCGUCGAAGUAGUGUAUGUCAUACUUCCAAGAAAAGCUUGCACUGUCAUAAGUAAAAAAUGCCUGUACCAUAACUGACACAGGUGGGUAGGUAGAGUAUACUAAGGGGCGCGAGAUAACUCUCUCUAAGGAACUCGGCAAAAUAACUCCGUAACUUCGGGAGAAGGAGUACCUUAUUCUAUAAGGUUGCAAUAACAAGAUCCAAGCAACUGUUUAUCAAAAACACAGGUCUCCGCUAAGUCGUAAGACGAUGUAUGGGGGCUGACGCCUGCCCAGUGCCAGAAGGUUAAAGAAGUCGGUUAGCAUUAGCGAAGCUGGUAACUGAAGCCCUGGUGAACGGCGGCCGUAACGAUAACGGUCCUAAGGUAGCGAAAUUCCUUGUCGGGUAAGUUCCGACCCGCACGAAAGGCGUAAUGAUUUGGAUACUGUCUCGGAGAGGGGCUCGGUGAAAUAGACUUGUCUGUGAAGAUGCGGACUACCUGCACCAGGACAGAAAGACCCUAUGAAGCUUUACUGUAACUUGAAAUUGAAAUUGGACUUUAUUCGCGCAGUAUAGGUGGGAGGUGUUGAUUAUAAUCUUGCGGGAUUAUUGGAGCCAUCAGUGAGAUACCACUCUUGUAAUGUUAGAUUUCUAACUUUGAAUCAUUAUCUGGUCAAAGGACAGUUUCAGGCGGGCAGUUUGACUGGGGCGGCCGCCUCCCAAACGGUAACGGAGGCGUACAAAGGUUUCCUCUGAACGGGUAGAAAUCGUAUCUAGAGUGUAAAGGCAUAAGGAAGCUUGACUGUGAGACCUACAAGUCGAACAGGGACGCAAGUCGGUCUUAGUGAUCUGACGGUACUGAGUGGAAAGGCCGUCACUCAACGGAUAAAAGUUACUCUAAGGAUAACAGGCUGAUCUCCCCCAAGAGUUCACAUCGACGGGGAGGUUUGGCACCUCGAUGUCGGCUCAUCGCAUCCUGGGGCGGUAGUACGUCCCAAGGGUUGGGCUGUUCGCCCAUGAAAGCGGUACGCGAGCUGGGUUCAGAACGUCGUGAGACAGUUCGGUCCAUAUCCGGUGUAGGCGUUAGAAUAUUGAGAGGAGCCUUCUUUAGUACGAGAGGACCGAGAAGGACAUACCUCUGGUGUACCAGUUAUCGUGCCAACGGUAAACGCUGGGUAGCUAUGUAUGGAGUGGAUAACCGCUGAAAGCAUCUAAGUGGGAAGCCCACCUCAAGAUAAGUAUUCUCC
This 1244-nucleotide ribosomal RNA is filed under the name metagenome. RNAcentral describes it as "bacterial LSU rRNA". It matches the Rfam family "Bacterial large subunit ribosomal RNA", at positions 1564 to 2816 of the family's 2925-position model. The record is from RNAcentral.